Molecule: ribosomal RNA, 396 nt
Filed under: uncultured soil bacterium
Lineage: Bacteria
Description: bacterial SSU rRNA
Rfam family: Bacterial small subunit ribosomal RNA
Source: RNAcentral
AGAGUGGACGCUGGCGGUAGGCCUAACACAUGCAAGUCGAACGGCAGCACAGUGGUAGCAAUACCAUGGGUGGCGAGUGGCGGACGGGUGAGGAAUACAUCGGAAUCUACCUUUUCGUGGGGGAUAACGUAGGGAAACUUACGCUAAUACCGCAUACGCCCUUUGGGGGAAAGCCGGGGAUCGCAAGACCUGGCGCGGAUAGAUGAGCCGAUGUCGGAUUAGCUAGUUGGUGAGGUAAUGGCUCACCAAGGCGACGAUCCGUAGCUGGUCUGAGAGGUAUGAUCAGCCACACGUGGAACUGAGACGACGGUCCAGACUCCGUAACGGGAGCAGCGAAGGUGGGGAAUUAGUUGGAACAAGUGGGCGACGAACGCUGACUCCAGGCCCAAGUACCGG